CACCGACACGUGACCGGAAGCUUCGGAUGACAACCAGGAAGUGAUUCUACAGACAACAAUCGCAAACUUCACUUCCAUCUCUACAGGUGCUGACACCCGCGGUCUUGGACUCGUCUCUUUGCGCGUCAUGUUUCAUGGAUCCCCGCGCAGCCGGCAGUCGGUGCUCCUGGAAAUAAGCCAGAGUUAUACGAGGAGGUGAAGCUGUACAAGAAUGCCCGGGAGCGAGAGAAGUAUGACAACAUGGCGGAGCUGUUUGCUGUGGUGAAGACGUUGCAGGCCCUGGAGAAGGCUUAUAUCAAAGACUGUGUCUCCCCAGCGAGUACACCGCCGCCUGCUCGCGCCUCCUGGUCCAAUACAAAGCCGCCUUCAAGCAGGUGCAAGGAGCGGAGGUCGGCUCCAUCGAUGACUUCU
This is a long non-coding RNA of Bufo bufo (common toad), 411 nucleotides long. RefSeq lists it as uncharacterized. The record is from RefSeq and is a predicted model, not a curated record. The transcript is spliced from 6 exons. NCBI's taxonomy places the organism in Eukaryota, Metazoa, Chordata, Amphibia, Anura, Bufonidae.